RNAcentral lists this long non-coding RNA (332 nucleotides) under Pan troglodytes (chimpanzee). RNAcentral describes it as "lincRNA". Lineage: Eukaryota; Metazoa; Chordata; Mammalia; Primates; Hominidae. The record is from RNAcentral.
CCUUCACUAACACACUGUUCUACCUUACUAUUUUCUUCUUUGCUUGCUUUGAAAACAUUUGGUUUUAUGUUCACCUACAUGAAAUGCACUAAAUCUCUGGUGAUGGCAGUGUUUUACAUUUCUAACCAGAUGCAGCUGAGCAGAUCAAUGCAUGAAGUAAAUCACAAAAUAGAGAUUGAACUUAACAGGAACACACUGGAAUCUACAAUCUCAAGGUAUUAGGGAAAAAUCUUUCUGACCAUACAACCUACCCAAAGGAUGAAAAUCUAGCUCACUUCCAGCCUUUUUAGUUGUUAUUUCCAUACCUGCUUUACAAAAUUCUACACUUUUUC